This 224-nucleotide non-coding RNA is filed under the name Clostridium sp. RNAcentral describes it as "T-box sequence". It matches the Rfam family "T-box leader". From Rfam's summary of the family: Uncharged tRNA acts as the effector for transcription antitermination of genes in the T-box leader family. The record is from RNAcentral. Lineage: Bacteria; Bacillati; Bacillota; Clostridia; Eubacteriales; Clostridiaceae.
AAAAAAACAAUAACAAGGACAAGACAGAUAAUAAAAUAUCUUUGCAGAGAAUCAAACAAUUGGUGAAAGUUUGAAAGUAAAAAUUAUUUGUUAUCACCUAAGUUAAGUUGUAAAGCUGAACAAUUUAAAGUAAGCUUUGCCGUAUAUCUGCGUUAAAGAAAAAUAAGAGAAUAUAAAUUAUAUUAUAUUAAAAUAGGUGGUACCGCGGAGAAUUCGUCCUAAUA